RNAcentral lists this long non-coding RNA (785 nucleotides) under Eucalyptus grandis. RNAcentral's name for it is "long non-coding RNA (EGRA_LNC000635)". The record is from RNAcentral. Lineage: Eukaryota; Viridiplantae; Streptophyta; Magnoliopsida; Myrtales; Myrtaceae.
UUUAAAGACAAAAUAAUGUAAAAUGUAGACUGAGACAACAUCAGAAUAAACAAAAAUAAAAUGUAAAAAAUCUAUCAAGACAAGCCAUUAGCUAAGUUGGUGAUCUUCUUGAAAUCCGCUAGAGGUGGUGGAACAUAUCAUUGUCCUUUGUACUUGUCAUCUUUUUUUUUUCCCUUACCUUUUCUCUUUUGGGCAGACAGAAAGUGUAAGGUAACAUGAUGUUGAAGCAAAGCCACAAUUUUUCACUUCAUUGGCCGACAAAAUGAGAAUCAGAAUCCACUUACAAGGGCUACACUACAUCCACCACAAUCUGCUCAAGCCCGGAAACCAUCUCAUUGCAGCUUAGAAAGUUAUUAUAGCUGUCUCGACAAGGGCAGCAGCAUAGGGAAUGCCCCGAUGGAUGCCCACUCUCUAGUGUUCGGUGGACAAGAUCAGCUUAUGCUCGGUGAUAAAAUGUUGUACUUUGCAAGACCGUAAGUGUCAGAGAACAAGACAAAUGAAGAUAUUGAGUCUUAAGGUCUAGCGUCCCUGUCAAUUUGUGCACAAUCUCUUUUGAACUCUUUACCAAGCCCCUUUUCUUAUUAGUGUUGAACUCAAGUUCUUCUAAAUCACAUCCAACAAGUAAGAUAAAUGUGUUCCAAUAUAUGACCUAUUCCGCACGAAGAAAAAGUACAUAAAAUGGUGAUCAUUUGAAAUCAGGUCCAAAUUUAUGAGUAAUAGCACGGGUGUUAACAUGAUACUAAAUAUUUCACGAAACAUUUGGCAAGAUGCUUGAGAUCUUUAAU